RNAcentral lists this long non-coding RNA (8744 nucleotides) under Sorghum bicolor (sorghum). Its description in RNAcentral is "long non-coding RNA (SBIC_LNC008157)". The record is from RNAcentral. Lineage: Eukaryota; Viridiplantae; Streptophyta; Magnoliopsida; Poales; Poaceae.
CAUUUGGUAUAGAUGUGCUAGUGCUUGAUAUAAUCCAUGAUCUUGUAAGAUGAUUAAUAGCUAUGCAAUGAACAUAAAAGAAUAACAAAUAACUAUAUGAGAUCUUGUCUGUAAGUGAUCACCGGGACAACAGUGCAACCAUGAGGGCUAUAAUGUCUCUGGCUUUAGCUCAGUAUGAAGCACUUUUCUAGCUGGUUAGAGGUUACCCGAAAGGGCGGAGGGGCUGAACCGUUUUGGGUAUAGUGUGGCCUCUGUCUGUAUGAGUAUAGGCUGCGAGUCAUUGUGCCAUCGGAAGGGGGGCUCUAUAUCUGCGCGCAAAGAAAACCUUGCGGCCCUAACUUGUUAGACGAACUUUUGAAAGGCUUCAUAGUGAUCCCUGCCGACCUCCCUAGGAAGGGGGUUAAGAGAUUAGCUACCUCGGGCGAAAGGGUAAAUCAUGACUCAUGGGUAAAGAUGUACAACCUCUGCAGAGUGUAAAACUGGUAUACUAGCCGUGCUCACGGUUAUGAGCGGCCUUGGGGGUUCUUGCUGCGCCGACGAUGAGCUUAUUAAGUUGUUAGGUUCAUUUGAUUAUCGUUUAUGCAAUGGAUUAAUUAUGCUUACACAUGAUCAUGGGAUUAAUGGAUUAUUUAUGCUUCCUUGACAAUUGCUAUUUAAUUAUGAACAUGCUAUCCACUAUUAAAAGCUAAAUGCAGUCAAACCAGUGUCAGCUAUUUGAGCCUCAUGAACCCCUGGUUAUACUUGUUGAGUACGAUAUGUGCUCACUCUUGCAAUUUCCCAACACCUCAGGGUAUGAUAAUGAAGAUGACUGGAAUGAGGAUUAUCGGUAUGAGUACUAGGUUUGGAGUCAACCAGUCAACAGUGUCCCUGUGUGGAGCUUCCAUCGAGAGCGUUGUUUACUUUAUGCUAUCAUUUUUGUAUGAGACUAUGUGAUUCAAUAUAUAGUCCGCUAUGUAAUAAACACUGCAAUGGUACAUUUGAGAUUUGUCUACUUAUGUGUGCGACUGUUUCUGGGGCACAUAUGAGUCUUUUAUGCAUCCUAUUUUGUUCUUAAAAUAUGGGUGUGACAAAUUGGUAUCAGAGCUUUGUUGACUGUCGGACGCAAGCCUAGUUAGAAAUUGGCCGUCAUAAGGUUUUGAAAUUGCUAUAAAAUCCUUGUUCUAUAAACCUUGAUAUUUUCUUCUACACUAUAUCCUAUUCAUCUUCACCUUGUUGCUUAUCUUAAAGACUUGUUCUCAUCCCCACUCCUUGCUUUGAAUAUGCUUUUAGAACCUUCUCUUACUACCUGCUUACAUAGUUGAAAGAGAAUUUUAGGAAUCUUUGCCCUUAAUAGGAAGAGAACGAUAGUACCGCAAGUUGAGUUAAUGCUUGAAAUGCGAACCUUUGAUGCUUGGUUUGGUUUGUUAUUAUGCUUAUGCUUGAUUUGGAUCUUUGUAAUGAGUGCAAUGAUCUUGUGGAUUUCCUCUACAAUUUCAUUUAGUUUAUAGGCUUAAGGCAUAAGGAUUAAUGAACUAAAUAGUUGGGGUUGGUUAAAAUUCUGUUUCUGUCCUUUGCUGUUUUAUGGAGCAGUCUGCAAUGAAUCUGGUACAUCUCAAAAUCUGUUCAUGCAAUGUCCAUCAAAUUUUUCUGGGAACAAGUAGACUUCCAUAUCUUUCCAAUGCCGCAAGAAUGACCAUAUCAUCGAUUAUGAGCUGAGAGUUAUGACUGUUUCAAGUUGAGGUUUCUGCGCAGUCUGGAAUUCUGGAACAGUUUCGGUUGUACCCAGUUUUUGGUUAACCUCACGUUGGAAUCUGGUAAUAUGAUCUAAAUGAAAGUUGUAGACAAUUUCUUUAUCUUUCCAACGGUGUACAAUAUGUAUCCUUUUGAAUUCUGGAACUCGAGAUAUUACUGAUUUUCUGAUCUGCUGAUGUUGGAUGUUACCCAGAAAAUUUCAGAUUCGGUUAACUCUUGUAAUUGUCAUGUUGGACAUUACUAAGAUGUGUUUAUAUACCUUGGAAUGCAGAUGGCAGCAAGGGGAAGAGGCAGAGGCAGAGGCCGUGGCAAUAGUGACAAUGCCCCAAUUACUGUGGAGGAACUUAUGCAAACUCAGAAUCAGAUGAUGCACGUCUUCAUGCAACACCUACAACAACAACCUCCACCAACACCACCACCUGUUCAUGUGAGAGAUAAGCGGGGGGAAUUCAUGAAGGGAAGACCUCCGGUAUUUACACACUCAGCGGAUCCCAUGGAGGCGGAUGAUUGGUUACGUGCUGUGGAGAGGCAACUAAACAUAGCACAGUGCAAUGACUUAGAGAAGGUGUUGUAUGCUUCUGGACAACUUCAGGGAGCAGCUCAGACCUGGUGGGAGUCAUAUCAAGCUGCUCGUUCCAACAAUGCUCCUCCUGUCACUUGGUUAGAAUUUUGCAGAGACUUCCGAGCACGACACAUCAAUGAAGGAAUGAUGGAGCUCAAGCAGGAAGAAUUCAGAUCUCUUAGGAUGGGUUCUAUGUCUGUGGCUGAGUAUCAUGACACGUUUGAGCAGUUGGCUCGCUAUGCUCCAAACGAAGUCAGAGAAGAUGCUGACAAACAACGUCUCUUCAUGAAAUGUCUUUACCAUGAACUCAGAUUGCAACUGGCUGGAAAUACCUACCCUACAUUCCAGGCUCUGGUGAACCGUGCCAUUGUGUUGGAUAACAUGCGCAAAGGUCUGGAUAAGAAGAGGAGGAUGCUAGCACAAGGGUCUGGAGGCAACAACCGCCAACGUUUCAAUUCUCAGCAGAGCAAUCAACAGAGGUUCCAGGGACCAGUUAGUCAAUGGGAUCGCAACCAACAAUCUCAGCGUAAUCCUAAUCAUCAACAAAGUGGACAGCAGACUUCCCGCUCCGGAGAUUCAAAUGCCACCUCUAUGAAGAGAAGUGCUCCCAAUACCCCUACUAGGUGUUUUCGCUGUGGGAAAGAAGGUCAUAUGUCAUAUGAUUGCCCGGAGAGAUUCAACCAGCGGAACAACAAUCAAAAGUCUAAUUCUCAUGGAGCAAAGGUGAACCAUGUGGCUGCAGAGACAGUACAAGAGGGACCGGAGAUUAUGAUGGGUACGUUCAGUAUCAACUCUAUUCCCGCUACAGUUUUAUUUGAUUCUGGAGCUUCGCAUACAUUCAUAUCACAAGCAUUUGUUAGAGCUCAUAGCAUACCACUAGUUGCCCUGAAAACCCAUAUGCUAGUAAACUCACCGGGAGGGACUAUACCAGUUUCAUAUUGUUGCCCCUCAGCAAGUCUUUCUUUAAGGGGGGUAGAUUUCCCUGUUAGUCCCAUGGUUAUGAGAACCUCAGGCAUAGAUGUGAUAUUGGGUUUGGAUUGGAUGAAGAAAUAUGCUACGGAAAUUAAGUGCAAGGAGAAAGUAGUAGUUGUGACCACACCCAAGGGAGAGAGAAUCAGUGUGGACGUAGCAGUACAAGCUCCACCCACAGCCACAGUGAAUCAUUUAGAGGAUGAUGGUGUUGAUCUUCAGGACUGUGUAGGGAAUAAAUUUUCAGAUAAGUUAUUAGGUAUGUUACUUGACUAGAGACAUUGAAUUUGCUAGUGCAAUGGGAUUGGCAUUCACAAGGAGAAACAACUUGGGAAAGAGAAGAGGAUUGGAGAGAAUCAAAUCCACAGUGCUUUAUUUACACACUGCUCAAUCUCGAGGACGAGAUUCUUUUAAGGGGGUAGAGUUUGUAACACCCAAAAUUUUGAAUUUUAAUUAAUAGGAUUUAAUUUGAAUUAUUUAAGAAUUUUAGUGAGCAUUUAAUGUAGCAAAUAAAUAAUUUUUGUGGAAAUUAAAAUUUAUCAUAAGCUUAGUAACAUGAUUUUGUGCAUUCAUGCUGAGAUAUAUUUUAUUUUGUGUUGAUUGUAUUUGGUUUGUAUUUAAUUGUCCUCAAAAUCCUUUCUGAAAAAAAAACUUUGAAAAAAAAAUAAAACAAAACAGAAAAGAAAUUAGAAAUAAAAAAAAAAGAGAAAGCCCUUGGAAGACAGCCGAAGCCCAGCUCCCCGGCCUGGCUCCUCCCCCUCUUCUCUCCUCGCUGACACCCUGGGGCCGCAUGUCAGCGCUUCCAUCUCCUUCCUCUGUUCGUAACCGAGCCGGACACGGCCGGGAGCCAAUCGAACCCGAUUUCUCGGGAUUACUUGCCAAACGCGUUAGCCGAGCCCCUAUAUAAUCCCUAGCAUCGCCCCCGCGCGUGUUUCCCAUCUUCGCCGCGCAAAAUCCGUGUCCUAGCUACAGCAGCCGCCAGACGGGAUCUUGCCGCAAGCCGAGCGCCUUGCCGUGCGCCGCGAGCUCCUCCCGUCGUUCUUCGGCCCCAGCAAAGCACCUCCUCGAAUUCGCGGUGAGCUCCUCGUUCCGAUGGUGUUUUUCUUUCUUGAAACGGUGCUCGGAAACGAGAAACCCGCGAACGCCGGCGAGCUUUCGAACGGUGGCCAUGGCGCCACCGUGCUGAGCUCCGGUCGGCCGGCCAGGCUUGGCCCUGGAUGGAACACCAGCCGUUAGAUGCAAGAUCAAGGGACAGAAAUAGAAGUUACCCCUUCAGCUGCGAAACUAUAUAAAGAGUCCUUGAACUUUUUCAUAUUUGCUCCGCAGUCCUUGGCGCCCUGAGACGAUUCCGUUACUCAACUCCGAAAGCGUAUUUCGUGAAUUGCCAUUGGAUUUAGUUUGCUCAUAAAAUACUCAUUUUAACUCCGUUUUUGUCCAUUCAAAUUCCGUUGGAUUCGUAUUUACGAUCUCUACAUGUUAGAAAUAUUAGUUUACUGUUUUGAAACAUUUUAAUUCUGCAGUAGCAUUUAAUUAAUUAUUACUCUAUAGGAAAUCUUAGAAAAUUCAUAUCUUACUCGUUUUAAUUCCGAUUUUCGUGAACUUUACGUUUGUGUGAUCGUAGCGCUGCGUAGAAUAUUAUCAUAAACUUUUAUAUUUGUUUUACCACUGUUUGGUGUAUUGUUCUAAUUAUACCUUGUUUGCUUCGUGUAUGAUUGUCUACAUUGGAUUGCGUGUUGUUGAUUGAUGAUUGGGAUUAGACGGUGAGCCGUACGUUGGUGAUCAAGACCAAGCUUUUGAAGACCAGCGGGCUCAGGAGAGCUUUGGUCAAGGCAAGUAUAACUUGGGACCAUCCUUGUUACCUAUUCACUUAUAACUACAUAUAUAUAUCAUAUGCAUGCUAUCACCUUGUCGACCUUAGCAAAAUCAUAGAUGAUUGUUACCUGUAUUCCUUGCUACCUACUUGAUAUGCAUUUGGUAUAGAUGUGCUAGUGCUUGAUAUAAUCCAUGAUCUUGUAAGAUGAUUAAUAGCUAUGCAAUGAACAUAAAAGAAUAACAAAUAACUAUAUGAGAUCUUGUCUGUAAGUGAUCACCGGGACAACAGUGCAACCAUGAGGGCUAUAAUGUCUCUGGCUUUAGCUCAGUAUGAAGCACUUUUCUAGCUGGUUAGAGGUUACCCGAAAGGGCGGAGGGGCUGAACCGUUUUGGGUAUAGUGUGGCCUCUGUCUGUAUGAGUAUAGGCUGCGAGUCAUUGUGCCAUCGGAAGGGGGGCUCUAUAUCUGCGCGCAAAGAAAACCUUGCGGCCCUAACUUGUUAGACGAACUUUUGAAAGGCUUCAUAGUGAUCCCUGCCGACCUCCCUAGGAAGGGGGUUAAGAGAUUAGCUACCUCGGGCGAAAGGGUAAAUCAUGACUCAUGGGUAAAGAUGUACAACCUCUGCAGAGUGUAAAACUGGUAUACUAGCCGUGCUCACGGUUAUGAGCGGCCUUGGGGGUUCUUGCUGCGCCGACGAUGAGCUUAUUAAGUUGUUAGGUUCAUUUGAUUAUCGUUUAUGCAAUGGAUUAAUUAUGCUUACACAUGAUCAUGGGAUUAAUGGAUUAUUUAUGCUUCCUUGACAAUUGCUAUUUAAUUAUGAACAUGCUAUCCACUAUUAAAAGCUAAAUGCAGUCAAACCAGUGUCAGCUAUUUGAGCCUCAUGAACCCCUGGUUAUACUUGUUGAGUACGAUAUGUGCUCACUCUUGCAAUUUCCCAACACCUCAGGGUAUGAUAAUGAAGAUGACUGGAAUGAGGAUUAUCGGUAUGAGUACUAGGUUUGGAGUCAACCAGUCAACAGUGUCCCUGUGUGGAGCUUCCAUCGAGAGCGUUGUUUACUUUAUGCUAUCAUUUUUGUAUGAGACUAUGUGAUUCAAUAUAUAGUCCGCUAUGUAAUAAACACUGCAAUGGUACAUUUGAGAUUUGUCUACUUAUGUGUGCGACUGUUUCUGGGGCACAUAUGAGUCUUUUAUGCAUCCUAUUUUGUUCUUAAAAUAUGGGUGUGACAGCUGCCGGAAGUACCGACUACGCCACCCAACGAAUCCUAGGACAAUUAAGAAAAUGGAGAGUCCCGUUCGGAGGACUUAAAAACACCGAACGCCUUGCCAACAUGUAAACUUGGUAGUUAUCAUUUCCCUUUCAAUUAUUUCAACUAGUUUACUUAGUUAAGCAUGCUCAUACUAUCCUAAAAAGAAAAUAAAAAUGUGAAAAAACAGUAAGCCCCAUGUGAGUAUGCAAGUGGCAUAAAACCCAUAAGUACAUUCACUGUGGUGGCAUAAAAAUAAAAUAAAAAUUUCUUUUCUACUUUAUAAAAUAAAAAUAUAAAAACAGGGAGUAAUAAUUAUUAAGGAGUCUCAACACGAUAAAGGCUAGAUAUUUAUGCUAACACUUAAUCAGUUCCACAAGCUUUGUUGUCUAUUUGAGCUCCACAGAAUCUAAGAAUCAAGAAGACUAGCAGACGGAGGACAUUCUAAUCGCUGUCAGAAUGCUGCUGACUUUCAAAUACACUUCUGCCACCUGCUAGCUACAUCAAGAGAAAUUACGUCAAAAUUCAGCUUGGGGGAGAGCACCCCCAUUUAUCUCGAUAAGUAUUUCUAUCUAUCUAUCUUUAUAUUUAUACUAUAUUAAAAUAUAAUUAUGGAAAACCAAAUAAAGAUUUUAUGCUUAUAUAUAAAUAUAUCUUUUACUUAGUGUGUUUAAUAAAUAAAUAAAGUGGCUAUGCUAAUCUGUAUCUAAAUAAAACUUAAGCAUGGAUAUGAUGAAUAGUUGGUCUGCCUAAUUUGCACAUUUUAAGUUCUCUCUCAAGUUUAGAUAUAACUGUUAUAAUUUAAAUCUUGCUCUAGACCUAAACUUGUGGGAUGAAAACUUGAUCUGAGGUCUAAGUUGUUAACGGAUACGAUAUGGGAAGGUUGAGCUACUGUUUAUCUGUUCCUAGAGAUGCUAGAAUUCUGGAGAAUUUUAUCUUUGAAAAUCUUUAAAAUGUUGCAUGAUGAGUUCCUGUAUGAUGAGAGUUUAAAUUCCUACCACAGCCAUAUAUACAUGCUUGCUAGACUUUGAGCCACACAUUUACUAUUUACUGCUUAUGAGCAUUGAGUGUGGUCAAGCUGUGUAGACCCUUAGGAGCUUGUCAUGUGGUUAAAUCAAGAUUUCACUUGCACGUUCACUCAUAUAUGCUACUUCUACUCCGGAAGUACCAUCCACAUAUAUCCAUCCAUUUCCAUCUCUAGAAUCACCCAAAAAUAUUCUACUCCUAAUCCGGGAGGGAAUAACCAAAAAUAUUUCUGUUUUCCCCUAUGAAAUAAAUGCUCAAGUUAUCUUUUUACUACCACUUGCUAUAUUAUCUCAAGAGAUGAGUGCUCUAAAAAAAGAUAAAAAAAAGAGAAAAAAAUAAUAUAUACGAGGAAAUAAAAAGGAGCAAGUGCUCGGAACCUCGAAAGAAAAGAAAAAGUGAGACGAGAGGUAAAAAUGGACAAGUGUCCGACAGUAGAAUUAGGGGUACAAGAUACCCACCUGAGAGAAAAGAAAAAUAAAGAGCAUCUCAUUCUCCUCAAAAUAUUUCAAAAAGCAAGAAAGGUAUGUAUCACCUCAAAAGAGCAGUAGUAGAAUUAGACUUCCACCACCAUUGUUUCCAUCAUUGUUAUCACCAUCAUCACCAUACACCAUUCAUUCGCCACACAUGCACAUCUUGAUUUGACUUAUUGAUUUGUUUCUUUGGAUCCAUGGUUUGACUAUACAAUAAAUGUCUUGUAAGUAUGUAUACUUUAUCUCCCACCUAUGAGCUCUAGAUAUUAAAGCCUUAUUAGAGUAGGGUGAGAGAGAAGACAAUGUCACUAUGCUUUACACCACAAAUACUACAUAUAUUGAGAGAAGGCAUAUACCAUCACUGCCUUGGUAAGGAUCCAGAAAUACCACAAAAGAGAGAUCUGAGAGAAUCAUACAAGGAAUCUCUGAGUUUUAUUUGAAAAUCUGCAAAAACCCCAGAGCUAUAGCUGAUCAAGAAUAAGAGACAUGACACUUGGCUAGACUGUUCUAUCUUUUAACCUCUCAAGACAGAAGUGACGGUUACAAGUCCCAUAGUGAAGGUAAAGUAAGUAAGUUUUAAGUCUUGACAGUUUACUCUAAUCAGAGAUGAGAUCUUAUUUAAAAAGCAUGUGUACCGUCAAUUUUGAAAGAUAUUGCAACAACUUAUGAUCCAUAGCUGAGUCUAUCCUUGCUCAGGGACGAGCAAGAGGUAAGCUUGGGGGAGUUUAUUGACGGUCCUUAAGUAUCAAAUUUAAUUAUCAAAUAAAUAAAGAAAAGGAUCCAAAUGAAAUCAACAUCUAGACUUAGGGUUUUAUCUGACAGAAUUCCACGAGUUUUGGUGUUUGUCUAUUUCUGCAGGGGGUUAUCAGGAAAUAAGGAAGAAAGGCCCUUCGGGAUUACAUAGAGAUAUUAACGUGCUGCACAAUUAUCU